This 253-nucleotide ribosomal RNA is filed under the name uncultured bacterium. RNAcentral describes it as "partial 16S ribosomal RNA". It matches the Rfam family "Bacterial small subunit ribosomal RNA", at positions 524 to 776 of the family's 1533-position model. The record is from RNAcentral.
UACAGAGGUCUCAAGCGUUGUUUGGAUUCAUUGGGCGUAAAGGGUGUGUAGGUGGCGCGCUAAGUCGGGUGUGAAAUUUCGGAGCUUAACUCCGAAACUGCAUUCGAUACUGGCGUGCUUGAGGACUGGAGAGGAGACUGGAAUUUACGGUGUAGCAGUGAAAUGCGUAGAUAUCGUAAGGAAGACCAGUGGCGAAGGCGGGUCUCUGGACAGUUCCUGACACUGAGACACGAAGGCCAGGGGAGCAAACGGG